AACAGGAUUAGAUACCCUGGUAGUCACGCCGUAAACGAUGUCGACUUGGAGGCUGUUCCCCUGAGGAGUGGCUUCCGGAGCUAACGCGUUAAGUCGACCGCCUGGGGAGUACGGCCGCAAGGUUAAAACUCAAAUGAAUUGACGGGGGCCCGCACAAGCGGUGGAGCAUGUGGUUUAAUUCGAUGCAACGCGAAGAACCUUACCUGGCCUUGACAUCCAGAGAACUUAGCAGAGAUGCUUUGGUGCCUUCGGGAACUCUGAGACAGGUGCUGCAUGGCUGUCGUCAGCUCGUGUUGUGAAAUGUUGGGUUAAGUCCCGCAACGAGCGCAACCCUUAUCCUUUGUUGCCAGCGGGUAAUGCCGGGAACUCAAAGGAGACUGCCGGUGAUAAACCGGAGGAAGGUGGGGAUGACGUCAAGUCAUCAUGGCCCUUACGGCCAGGGCUACACACGUGCUACAAUGGCGCAUACAAAGAGAAGCGACCUCGCGAGAGCAAGCGGACCUCAUAAAGUGCGUCGUAGUCCGGAUCGGAGUCUGCAACUCGACUCCGUGAAGUCGGAAUCGCUAGUAAUCGUAGAUCAGAAUGCUACGGUGAAUACGUUCCCGGGCCUUGUACACACCGCCCGUCACACCAUGGGAGUGGGUUGCAAAAGAAGUAGGUAGCUUAACCUCCGGGAGGGCGCUUACCACUUUGUGAUUCAUGACUGGGGUGAAGUCGUAACAAGGUAACC
This 730-nucleotide ribosomal RNA is filed under the name uncultured bacterium. RNAcentral's name for it is "bacterial SSU rRNA". It matches the Rfam family "Bacterial small subunit ribosomal RNA", at positions 771 to 1501 of the family's 1533-position model. The record is from RNAcentral.